This 288-nucleotide small RNA is filed under the name Rhodobacter ferrooxidans. Its description in RNAcentral is "Rhodobacter sp. SW2 5' ureB small RNA". It matches the Rfam family "5' ureB small RNA". The record is from Rfam by way of RNAcentral. Lineage: Bacteria; Pseudomonadati; Pseudomonadota; Alphaproteobacteria; Rhodobacterales.
AUCCUCGAUCUGCCCGGGUGCUAUGAAGUGGAUAUGCGCGUCAAAACCACCGGCGGUGACAAUCUUGCCCUCGCCCGCGAUCACCUCGGUGCCGGGGCCGAUGAUGAUGGUCACACCGCUUUGGGUGUCGGGGUUGCCCGCCUUGCCGAUGGCAUGGAUCAGCCCGCCCCGCAGCCCGAUAUCGGCCUUGUAGAUACCGGAAUGGUCGAGGAUCAGCGCGUUGGUGAUCACCGUAUCCACCGCGCCGCCCGCCCGGCUGACCUGCGAUUGCCCCAUGCCGUCACGGAU